Molecule: transfer RNA, 71 nt
Filed under: Loxodonta africana (African savanna elephant)
Lineage: Eukaryota; Metazoa; Chordata; Mammalia; Proboscidea; Elephantidae
Rfam family: tRNA
About the family: Transfer RNA (tRNA) molecules are approximately 80 nucleotides in length. Their secondary structure includes four short double-helical elements and three loops (D, anti-codon, and T loops). Further hydrogen bonds mediate the characteristic L-shaped molecular structure. tRNAs have two regions of fundamental functional importance: the anti-codon, which is responsible for specific mRNA codon recognition, and the 3' end, to which the tRNAs corresponding amino acid is attached (by aminoacyl-tRNA synthetases). tRNAs cope with the degeneracy of the genetic code in two manners: having more than one tRNA (with a specific anti-codon) for a particular amino acid; and 'wobble' base-pairing, i.e. permitting non-standard base-pairing at the 3rd anti-codon position.
Source: Rfam by way of RNAcentral
GCAGUGGUGGUCCAGUGGUAGAAUCCUUGCCUUCCGUUCAGGAGACCCAGGUUCAAUUCCUGGCCAAUGUA